UUAGCAAAUAAUUAGUCUUUUUGUGGCCGUCUGGCCGAGUCUUCUCAAUCGGGACUUCCCCUGCAAACUCCACAUAACAUAGAAAUCAAGAUUUUCAUUUAUGCUUCGCUGGCAAUUUUGCGAUCGAGUAUUGCACUGUUUAUGUUUUCGUUUGGUCUGGUUAGAAAAUCGUUCACACAACAUAGUUUGGACGUUAAAUUGUCACCGUUAGUUGGUACACUUGCUUUCAUACAAACAAAUUCAGGUAAUGCUAACAGCGGGCAAUUCUGCCAAGAACAGUUUACAUCGUGAAAUGAGAGCAAACUCAAGAAAAGCAUAGAAGUUGAAGAGAUGGUUUUUUAUGCAUAGCAACAAGAAAUCGAACAUGUGUUAGUUAUUUCUCAAACAAUAGUUAACUAUAGUAGUAUAAUACCCAAUGAUAUUUAUGUACCACUAUUCAUAGGCGUUCAGUUAGGGGUUCUGAGGGUGCCUUGUCACCCCAAUUUUCAAAACAAGAGUGAUAUAAUGUGUUUUGUCACCCCAGUUUUACAGGUCACUACAGCUUUUAACCUGUUGUUAAGUGUCUAUAGAUACAAUCAGGCCCAAACCCUACUCUAUUCAUACUAUUCAAUGAAGUUUAUUUAUGUGUUAAGCUGUGAUUGUAAAUACAUUUUAAUCACGUCAUCCCAGAUUUUGUUAAAAUGUGAAUCACGAUGCCAAUCCUAAAU
Molecule: non-coding RNA, 707 nt
Organism: Ciona intestinalis (vase tunicate)
Lineage: Eukaryota; Metazoa; Chordata; Ascidiacea; Phlebobranchia; Cionidae
Source: RefSeq, a predicted model, not a curated record